Molecule: ribosomal RNA, 253 nt
Filed under: uncultured bacterium
Lineage: Bacteria
Description: partial 16S ribosomal RNA
Rfam family: Bacterial small subunit ribosomal RNA
Source: RNAcentral
UACAGGGGGUGCAAACGUUGCUCGGAAUCAUUGGGCGUAAAGCGCACGUAGGCGGUUCGUUAUGUCGGAUGUGAAAGCCCUUGGCUUAACCGAGGAAGUGCAUCCGAAACUGGCGAGCUAGAGUACGAAAGAGGAUCGCGGAAUUCCCGGUGUAGAGGUGAAAUGCGCAGAUAUCGGGAGGAACACCGGUGGCGAAGGCGGUUCUCUGGGCCUUACCUGACGCUGAGGAGCGAAAGCGUGGGGAGCGAACAGG